CAUGCAAGUCGAACGAACUCUGGUAUUGAUUGGUGCUUGCAUCAUGAUUUACAUUUGAGUGAGUGGCGAACUGGUGAGUAACACGUGGGAAACCUGCCCAGAAGCGGGGGAUAACACCUGGAAACAGAUGCUAAUACCGCAUAACAACUUGGACCGCAUGGUCCGAGCUUGAAAGAUGGCUUCGGCUAUCACUUUUGGAUGGUCCCGCGGCGUAUUAGCUAGAUGGUGGGGUAACGGCUCACCAUGGCAAUGAUACGUAGCCGACCUGAGAGGGUAAUCGGCCACAUUGGGACUGAGACACGGCCCAAACUCCUACGGGAGGCAGCAGUAGGGAAUCUUCCACAAUGGACGAAAGUCUGAUGGAGCAACGCCGCGUGAGUGAAGAAGGGUUUCGGCUCGUAAAACUCUGUUGUUAAAGAAGAACAUAUCUGAGAGUAACUGUUCAGGUAUUGACGGUAUUUAACCAGAAAGCCACGGCUAACUACGUGCCAGCAGCCGCGGUAAUACGUAGGUGGCAAGCGUUGUCCGGAUUUAUUGGGCGUAAAGCGAGCGCAGGCGGUUUUUUAAGUCUGAUGUGAAAGCCUUCGGCUCAACCGAAGAAGUGCAUCGGAAACUGGGAAACUUGAGUGCAGAAGAGGACAGUGGAACUCCAUGUGUAGCGGUGAAAUGCGUAGAUAUAUGGAAGAACACCAGUGGCGAAGGCGGCUGUCUGGUCUGUAACUGACGCUGAGGCUCGAAAGUAUGGGUAGCAAACAGGAUUAGAUACCCUGGUAGUCCAUACCGUAAACGAUGAAUGCUAAGUGUUGGAGGGUUUCCGCCCUUCAGUGCUGCAGCUAACGCAUUAAGCAUUCCGCCUGGGGAGUACGGCCGCAAGGCUGAAACUCAAAGGAAUUGACGGGGGCCCGCACAAGCGGUGGAGCAUGUGGUUUAAUUCGAAGCUACGCGAAGAACCUUACCAGGUCUUGACAUACUAUGCAAAUCUAAGAGAUUAGACGUUCCCUUCGGGGACAUGGAUACAGGUGGUGCAUGGUUGUCGUCAGCUCGUGUCGUGAGAUGUUGGGUUAAGUCCCGCAACGAGCGCAACCCUUAUUAUCAGUUGCCAGCAUUAAGUUGGGCACUCUGGUGAGACUGCCGGUGACAAACCGGAGGAAGGUGGGGAUGACGUCAAAUCAUCAUGCCCCUUAUGACCUGGGCUACACACGUGCUACAAUGGAUGGUACAACGAGUUGCGAACUCGCGAGAGUAAGCUAAUCUCUUAAAGCCAUUCUCAGUUCGGAUUGUAGGCUGCAACUCGCCUACAUGAAGUCGGAAUCGCUAGUAAUCGCGGAUCAGCAUGCCGCGGUGAAUACGUUCCCGGGCCUUGUACACACCGCCCGUCACACCAUGAGAGUUUGUAACACCCAAAGUCGGUGGGGUAACCUUUUAGGAACCAGC
Molecule: ribosomal RNA, 1434 nt
Filed under: Lactiplantibacillus plantarum
Lineage: Bacteria; Bacillati; Bacillota; Bacilli; Lactobacillales; Lactobacillaceae
Description: bacterial SSU rRNA
Rfam family: Bacterial small subunit ribosomal RNA
Source: RNAcentral